Molecule: long non-coding RNA, 1678 nt
Organism: Centrocercus urophasianus (Greater sage-grouse)
Lineage: Eukaryota; Metazoa; Chordata; Aves; Galliformes; Phasianidae
Exons: 2
Source: RefSeq, a predicted model, not a curated record
AAGAAAAGGGUGAUCAACAACUGCCCUUCUUUAUGAAUGAAAGAAAGGUAUGGGACAGGAUGGCCCUAUUUCCUAAUUCUUACCUUUGUCCUCUUCUGCAAAACAAGAGGCAAAGGCCCUGAAAGGGCUGUCUUCUAAAACAAAUUUUAGAUUGGUGGAAGGCACAAGGGCAGGUUGCUCUCUGGAAGUUUGCAGAGGUUUAUAAUUCGUUUGUAAGGUGGGUAAAAACAAAUGUGGGUGAGCUUGACUGCCUGCUUUGUUUGCACAUACAACAGUUACCUGGCCAUCUCCUUUGACUUGUUUCUUAAAUAUUGUUUAAACAUUCAGUGCUCAGGCAAGGUGAGAAUACAGGCUGUACUUGCAGAUUAUCAAAUAUCUGUUUGUAUGUACUGUUUAUUCCUUAUUCUAAGUGCAAGUGUAUUGCUGUUGCCUUUCAAAAGAGAAUUUUUACAUGGAAAUGAAUCUGUUUUUUCUUUCCUUUUUUGAAAAGAUUAUUGCUUCAGCAAACUUCAUGCUGUCGGAGCUCUUUCAGUUGGAUGAGCCUGAAAAAGAAGACAAUACAGACUUCCCUAUAAAUGGAAAUUCUGAUGAAAGUUAGAGUGAAGAAGAGGAAGAAAUGCCAGACAGUGAUGAGAAUGGUUUUUACAGUAACAGUUCUGAUCCACCAGAUGACAACAAAGCAGUGGCUGUAAUAAAAUCUGUAGGAGAGUUAUCAGUACCAGAAAAAUACAAGUGUGUUCAUCGAAUAUGUAUUUUGGACUGAAGUCAGCCACCGUACAUUCUGGCAUACAGGCGUAUCUCGUAACUACAAGGGAAAAGUAGCUGAUGCUGGAGAGCAGCAGGACUUUGACUAUCCCAAGUUAUAACCGUGUAACAGCAAAAUACGUUCCUUCCUCAGCACAGCUGGCCAUCAUCACGCUCCAUCGUCAGGCUGCCCAGGAUCCCAUCCAACCUGGCCUUGAUCACCUCCAGGGAUGGAUGGGGCUGCUUCAAGACAGCUUUGUGCACAGGUGCAACUCAGCACCAGGCAGCGCUUCUCACUUGCAAGCAGUGCCUGUGGGUUGGGCAGCGCUCCCCCAGCAGCACUGGGCUGCUUGGAAAGGAAGCAUACCUUUUAUUUUGGUCACUCAACCAUGAAUGAUUUAGCUGCUAUUAAGAGCACAAAGCCAGAAAUCGCCUUCUGCAGUCCUGCUGCAGCUUGUUGGGGAACAGUGGAGCACCAGUAAAAAAAAAAAAAGCAAAAAUAAAAGACAAGUCUGGCCUGGCAGGGCUGCUGGCGCCACUAUGUACAGCCCACGGACUGACUGUUGGAAGGAGAACUUGCAGUGCCCAGUGCCCCAGCCUGCUCUUUCUGCAGUGACUGUGUGAAGGAAGGUGAAUUCAGGGAGCAGUUCUGUAAUGUUCCUCAUACCGAAUGGGAAGACAUCCGGGGCAGCAGUUACGCUGUUACAGCCCGUAGAACUUGAUCUCAAGUGCUCUUGCUCACAAGGGCUCCCAGGCAGUAAAUGCCACCGGUGCCAUGACUGCUGGGGACCCACUGGGCUGCAACUGCCAGUCCUCAACCGCCAUCUGUAACACGGAUGGAUGCUCUCUGUCAUUAGAACUCAUCUGCAAUCCUCGGGGUCUGUGACACUGAGUUGCUGAGGCAACACAAAAAGCUAAUAAAACCCUGAAAUUA